This 253-nucleotide ribosomal RNA is filed under the name uncultured bacterium. RNAcentral's name for it is "partial 16S ribosomal RNA". It matches the Rfam family "Bacterial small subunit ribosomal RNA", at positions 524 to 776 of the family's 1533-position model. The record is from RNAcentral.
UACGAAGGGUGAAAGCGUUAAUCGGAAUUACUGGGCGUAAAGCGUGCGCAGGCGGCUUUGCAAGACAGAUGUGAAAUCCCCGGGCUCAACCUGGGAACUGCAUUUGUGACUGCAAGGCUAGAGUACGGCAGAGGGGGAUGGAAUUCCGCGUGUAGCAGUGAAAUGCGUAGAUAUGCGGAGGAACACCAAUGGCGAAGGCAAUCCCCUGGGCCUGUACUGACGCUCAUGCACGAAAGCGUGGGGAGCAAACAGG